GGACGAACGCUGGCGGCGCGCCUUACGCAUGCAAGUCGAACGGGUCGCUUUCGGGCGGCCAGUGGCGGACGGCUGAGUAACACGUAGGCAACCUGUCCCAAAGUGGGGGAUAACCUGCCGAAAGGCGGGCUAAUAUCGCAUGUGGCCUUAGGGUGAAAGCCCCUAAGAUCAAAGCCGCAAGGCGCUUUGGGAGGGACCUGCGGCCUAUCAGGUAGUUGGUGGGGUAAAGGCUCACCAAGCCUAUGACGGGUAGCUGGUCUGAGAGGACGACCAGCCAGAAGGGGACUGAGACACGGCCCCUACUCCUACGGGAGGCAGCAGCGAGGAAUCUUGGGCAAUGGGCGCAAGCCUGACCCAGCGACGCCGCGUGGGGGAAGAAGGCCUUCGGGUCGUAAACCCCUUUUGCCGGGGAAGAAGAUCUGACGGUACCCGGCGAAUAAGUCACGGCUAACUACGUGCCAGCAGCCGCGGUAAUACGUAGGUGGCUAGCGUUGUCCGGAUUUACUGGGCGUAAAGGGCGUGUAGGCGGCCUGCUAAGUCCCGUGUGAAAUCUCCCGGGCUUAACCGGGAGGGGUCACUGGAUACUGGCAGGCUAGAGGGAGGCAGAGGAAGGCGGAAUUCCCGGUGUAGCGGUGGAAUGCGUAGAUAUCGGGAGGAACACCAGUGGCGUAGGCGGCCUUCUGGGCCCACCCUGACGCUGAGGCGCGAAAGCGUGGGGAGCAAACCGGAUUAGAUACCCGGGUAGUCCACGCCCUAAACGGUGGAUGCUAGGUGUGGGGGGUGUCGACUCCCCCUGUGCCGUAGCUAACGCAUUAAGCAUCCCGCCUGGGGAGUACGGCCGCAAGGCUAAAACUCAAAGGAAUUGACGGGGGCCCGCACAGGCGGCGGAGCGUGUGGUUUAAUUCGAUGCAACGCGAAGAACCUUACCAGGGCUUGACAUGCCGGAUGUAGAAACCCGAAAGGGGGCCCACCUGUAAAACCAGGAGCCGGCACAGGUGCUGCAUGGCUGUCGUCAGCUCGUGCCGUGAGGUGUUGGGUUAAGUCCCGCAACGAGCGCAACCCCCGCGGUCAGUUAAAUCUCUCUGACAGAACCGCUGAGUCAACUCAGAGGAAGGUGGGGAUGACGUCAAGUCAGCAUGGCCCUUACACCCUGGGCUACACACACGCUACAAUGGGCGGUACAAAGGGUUGCCAAGGCGCAAGCCGGAGCUAAUCCCAGAAAGCCGUCCCCAGUUCAGAUUGCAGGCUGCAACUCGCCUGCAUGAAGGCGGAGUCGCUAGUAACCGCAGGUCAGCACACUGCGGUGAAUACGUUCCCGGGCCUUGUACACACC
This 1333-nucleotide ribosomal RNA is filed under the name uncultured bacterium. RNAcentral describes it as "bacterial SSU rRNA". It matches the Rfam family "Bacterial small subunit ribosomal RNA", at positions 27 to 1391 of the family's 1533-position model. The record is from RNAcentral.